Molecule: ribosomal RNA, 253 nt
Filed under: uncultured bacterium
Lineage: Bacteria
Description: partial 16S ribosomal RNA
Rfam family: Bacterial small subunit ribosomal RNA
Source: RNAcentral
UACGUAGGGUGCAAGCGUUAAUCGGAAUUACUGGGCGUAAAGCGUGCGCAGGCGGCUUUGCAAGACAGAUGUGAAAUCCCCGGGCUCAACCUGGGAACUGCAUUUGUGACUGCAUGGCUAGAGUACGGUAGAGGGGGAUGGAAUUCCGCGUGUAGCAGUGAAAUGCGUAGAGAUGCGGAGGAACACCGAUGGCGAAGGCAGCCCCCUGGGCUAACACUGACGCUGAGGCACGAAAGCGUGGGGAGCAAACAGG